UUAUACAUUUUGUUUAUAUAUUUUAACGUAUAUUAAUAUAUUUAAAUAUAAUUUGCAGAUUUUAGAAAUGAAUAUGUAAUUAAAAUAUAAUUAUUUUAUUUCAUUUGGAAUACUUUUAAUGAUUUACGAAAUCAAAAUGUAUUUUCGAAUUGUACGUUAAAACGAUUUCGAAUUACGAAACCACGUUCUAUUGAAAUUAGAAAACAAGUACUAAAUAUUUGGAUUCACCUAAAUUCCUACUCCUAGCCCAAUUGGGCAUAGCCCAAACCAAUAAACCCAACAAAUACUCCUUUCUCUCCUCUACUCUUACGUGAAACCAAAAGAAGAAGAAAAAAAGAGAAGCCCUCAUUCUUCAAUUCACGCACAACUCAGCCAUCUCUCCUUCCUCUCCUCCACGCCGUCGCCCUCGCUGUUGCCCAGCCACCGGACCACCACCGCUCCCGCCGCAACCCCGUUCGCGCAGCACCACGCACGCAACCCCGGUUCGCACAGCAGCCACCGCACGCAACCACCGUGCCCAGCCCUUGCCGCGAGCCACCACCGUCCGCCGGUCAACCCUCUAUCCUCCUUAUUGAAUUGGCGGAGAAUUCUCUUUAGGCGACUUUUGUAAGUGUUAAAGUGGUCUAUCAGUUUGUUUACACAAGUCUCUAAGGAUCAAUAAGCGUUGCCCAUCUACAGGUUUGAAGAUGAUGCAUCAUUGGGAUCGGGAUUAGAGAGCUUGUAGUUAUAUUUGUUUAAUUAAGUGAUUUAAUUUGUUAAUUUGGACUUGAAAUUUGUCGUACUAUUCGUGAUUCCUUAUUUUCGUUAAUUGGUUUUUGAACUUAAUAUGUAAUCGAUUAUUUAUAAACCUAAAAGUUAGUUUUAUGUUUUCCGCUGCAAAAUUCUGAAUAAGCCAUUACG
Molecule: long non-coding RNA, 900 nt
Organism: Spinacia oleracea (spinach)
Lineage: Eukaryota; Viridiplantae; Streptophyta; Magnoliopsida; Caryophyllales; Amaranthaceae
Exons: 4
Source: RefSeq, a predicted model, not a curated record